RNAcentral lists this transfer RNA (74 nucleotides) under Phlebiopsis gigantea 11061_1 CR5-6. RNAcentral describes it as "tRNA-Val (CAC) (tRNA-Val-CAC-1-1)". Lineage: Eukaryota; Fungi; Basidiomycota; Agaricomycetes; Polyporales; Phanerochaetaceae. The record is from RNAcentral.
GGUUCGGUGGUGUAGUUGGUUAUCACAUUCGUCUCACACACGAGAGGUCCCCGGUUCGAGACCGGGUCGAACCA